AUAGAUGCACUCCAAAUGCACCAUCAGUGCUCAGUAAACAUUUUAACCAAUUAAUAGUCCAUUCUAGGAAUCUCACCUUGACAAAAUGAGUAAAAUUUUCGGUUUUGUGUGCUUGAUUUUCAUUGCAUCGUUCCUGGUAUCGAUUGAGGGACUCUAUCGUGAUGAUAACUGCUUCAUUUUGCCGCCAUGGGGUGUCUGUGAAAGUGACGAUUUCUUGAAUUGUCAACGGGAAAUUCGAUUCAAUCUGUUCUGGCAAUACAUCAAAUGUUGCUGCACAUUGGCUUAAAAUUGAGAACUUUUGAAUGAAAAUUGUAAAUAAAUCGAAAAUUUGACUGAAUC
This is a long non-coding RNA of Bradysia coprophila, 339 nucleotides long. RefSeq lists it as uncharacterized. NCBI's taxonomy places the organism in Eukaryota, Metazoa, Arthropoda, Insecta, Diptera, Sciaridae. The record is from RefSeq and is a predicted model, not a curated record.